This 460-nucleotide long non-coding RNA is filed under the name Chinchilla lanigera (long-tailed chinchilla). RNAcentral's name for it is "lncRNA (ENSCLAG00000022456.1)". Lineage: Eukaryota; Metazoa; Chordata; Mammalia; Rodentia; Chinchillidae. The record is from RNAcentral.
CAGAACUUUGCUUAAAACUACAGUACGAUGAGAUCGCCCCGGAAGUCCAUCAUGAGAGGACCAUGUGAACGGCAGAACCCUGGGCGGUAGAAUAUCACAAUGGACGGGCCGAAGAAAAGCAGGCAAAGAUUGGGAAGGAAAGAUCAACCCCGCAAAAUACGAACAAGUCUAUGCAGCCACCUUGCCAACAGCUAACCGACUGGAUGCUGCUGCCCUUGCUCACGCCAAACCAGAGCAGCAGGCUGAAGAACGAACAGCACCGGAAACAGGAAGUGUGAGCUGCUCGUGAGCCUUCUGAUUCGCUCCCCCGUCUCCGGAAGGUAUUUCUUCCUCAUACCCACAACGCGCAGAGUCGGCCACGUCCAAAUCUCUGCUCAGAAGUCACCUUCCCUUAAUUUACAGACACAGUGCUCUGGCCUAUUCCCACGAGCAAAUCCUCUACCCCGAUCCUGUAUUUUUA